Molecule: ribosomal RNA, 253 nt
Filed under: uncultured bacterium
Lineage: Bacteria
Description: partial 16S ribosomal RNA
Rfam family: Bacterial small subunit ribosomal RNA
Source: RNAcentral
UACGUAGGGCGCAAGCGUUGUCCGGAAUUAUUGGGCGUAAAGAGCUCGUAGGCGGUUUGUCGCGUCUGUCGUGAAAGCUUGGGGCCUAACCCCAAGUCUGCGGUGGAUACGGGCAGACUAGAGGCAGGUAGGGGAGAACGGAAUUCCCGGUGUAGCGGUGAAAUGCGCAGAUAUCGGGAGGAACACCGGUGGCGAAGGCGGUUCUCUGGGCCUGUACUGACGCUGAGGAGCGAAAGCGUGGGGAGCGAACAGG